This 454-nucleotide ribosomal RNA is filed under the name uncultured bacterium. RNAcentral's name for it is "partial 16S ribosomal RNA". It matches the Rfam family "Bacterial small subunit ribosomal RNA", at positions 28 to 507 of the family's 1533-position model. The record is from RNAcentral.
GAUGAACGCUGACAGAAGGCUUAACACAUGCAAGUCAACUUGAACUUCGGUUGGGGUGGCGGACGGGGGAGUAACGCGUAAAGAACUUGACGCACAGCUAGGGACAACAUUUGGAAACGAAUGCUAAUACCUGAAAGUAGGAGCUUAGGGCAUCCUAGAAGUAUGAAAGCUAUAUGCGCUGUGAGAGAGCUUUGCGGCCCAUUAGCUAGUUGGAGAGGUAACGGCUCACCAAGGCGAUGAUGGGUAGCCGGCCUGAGAGGGUGAACGGCCACAAGGGGACUGAGACACGGCCCUUACUCCUACGGGAGGCAGCAGUGGGGAAUAUUGGACAAUGGACCAAGAGUCUGAUCCAGCAAUUCUGUGUGCACGAUGAAGUUUUUCGGAAUGUAAAGUGCUUUCAGUUGGGAAGAAAAAAAUGACGGUACCGACAGAAGAGGUGACGGCUAGAUACGUG